Armigeres subalbatus is the source of this 1524-nucleotide long non-coding RNA. RefSeq lists it as uncharacterized. The transcript is spliced from 6 exons. The record is from RefSeq and is a predicted model, not a curated record. NCBI's taxonomy places the organism in Eukaryota, Metazoa, Arthropoda, Insecta, Diptera, Culicidae.
CCGGAGAUACGGUUUCACUUUACGGAUUUCCGAACGAUCCUGGCACGUUAACGCAGUGGCUUCAUUUCUGUGAUCAGGUGGAAAUGCGUGAAGCAGGACAAAGCAAGGAUGUGUUCAAGUUCCGGCAUGUAUGCUCAAGGGUUUGAGAGGGCAGCAUUUAAGAAUCCAUUGAUCGUAUCUUAAGGAUUAAAAAAGCAUGCGGUUCCCACUAUCAAAACGCUGAACCCCACCGCAGUGGAGGACAACGUAUUGGAUUACGAGUCACAGUACGUCGAACUUUUAAGCAGCGACAUGACCGUUGAUACUGGUGUUGUUGAAGAAGAAAUAGAUUAUGAAAAUGGAGACGAUGGAUUGCAGCAAGGAUCCACUGUUUGCUUCUGUGCUACUGUGCUAUGCUACUGUUAGUGCAGGGUGUUGAAAAUCGGGGAACAUCCGACAACAAGGAAAAUCCGCAACAUCCGACAACGACAUCUGGAAACAAGUUCUUCCGAUACUCGUCUUAAGACACGAUUCGGUUCUUCCAGCACCGAAAGCAGGAAAUUAGAAAAACCUCCUGCUAACUGAGAAGAAAUAGCAGAUACUAAAAGUCCGUCGUUGUAUUGAGACGGAUCGGUCUCCACAUUUUACAUCGGGUGGAAGUUGCUCUUUUGAGCACUGUUGAAGAGGAGGUCAUGGAAGUCAAUCAUGAUAUAUGACGGUUCACCCGGAACCAAGAAAACAGUUAUUGAUCAACCCACUGCGUUAAUUUCAUAAUAUGACUUGUACUGGCACCACAACCGUCAGCAGACGAACUACAGUUGUCGGAGAAUUUCCCAUCACAACAGCGUCCAUAGUUAUCGAGCGAGUGCUCGAUAUUUGCUUCAUAUUUACCAGGGAACACCGGAAUUACCAUGUUGCUUCAACACAAAACACCAUCAUAUUUACAUUAUCCGUUAGUCGAUCAGCAGUCGCACGAGCUGGUCCUCACUGGCUCUGAUGUCACCAAUCCUCCGUCACAUCUUCCUGCACCCGAUAUCAAACGUAGGUUCCAGUAACACUUGCUGCUGAAAUCUAAUUAUCCGUGCAACCCUUGUCUAUGAUGAUAAGGAGCAGCUGAGAGGAGUGCAAAAAAAAAACGUUCGUGCUAUUCUCGUUUCUGACUAAAGAGCUUGAAUGAUUGUCUUUCAGCAUUCAGAAAAACCGGUCGGCCAGUUAAAUCACCAAAACGGUAAAAUUUUAAACUUCAUAAUUCCGCAGCUGGAGGUUGCCAGGAUAGUGCAGGGGUGCAGGGCGCAUGCUAGUACCGUACAUAGUGUACUCUCGUGUGUAUUGAAUAUUUUCGGAGAAUGCACGAAGAAGCACAGCAGUCCUCCCAACCCCUCUGCUGGGCUUCCGGAAUUUCUAUAAUUGCGGUACCAUCGCACUCGACAUAUUCACAGAAUUCCAAGGGGUGGUCUGAAUUCAGAUGCCAACCGCUGCACAGUUCUUCGUUACAAUCCACAACGGAUUCUAGAUUAGCGGGAAUGUACAGCAGAAGCCAUUUUC